CGCAAUAGGGCUCUGUGAACCGUGUCAGGUGGGGAACCAAGCAGCACUAAGCAGUCCACCCUGUGUGCCG
RNAcentral lists this signal recognition particle RNA (70 nucleotides) under Clostridiales bacterium. RNAcentral describes it as "signal recognition particle sRNA small type". It matches the Rfam family "Bacterial small signal recognition particle RNA", at positions 13 to 80 of the family's 97-position model. Rfam says of the family: The signal recognition particle (SRP) is a universally conserved ribonucleoprotein involved in the co-translational targeting of proteins to membranes. The record is from RNAcentral. Lineage: Bacteria; Bacillati; Bacillota; Clostridia; Eubacteriales.